This 253-nucleotide ribosomal RNA is filed under the name uncultured bacterium. RNAcentral's name for it is "partial 16S ribosomal RNA". It matches the Rfam family "Archaeal small subunit ribosomal RNA", at positions 474 to 727 of the family's 1478-position model. The record is from RNAcentral.
UACCAGCACCCCGAGUGGUCGGGACGUUUAUUGGGCCUAAAGCAUCCGUAGCCGGUUCUACAAGUCUUCCGUUAAAUCCACCUGCUUAACAGAUGGGCUGCGGAAGAUACUAUAGAGCUAGGAGGCGGGAGAGGCAAGCGGUACUCGAUGGGUAGGGGUAAAAUCCGUUGAUCCAUUGAAGACCACCAGUGGCGAAGGCGGCUCACUGGUCCGGUACUGACGCUGAGGUGCGAAAGCGUGGGGAGCAAACAGG